Molecule: ribosomal RNA, 410 nt
Filed under: uncultured prokaryote
Description: bacterial SSU rRNA
Rfam family: Bacterial small subunit ribosomal RNA
Source: RNAcentral
GUGUCAGCCGCCGCGGUAAUACGGAGGGUGCAAGCGUUAUCCGGAUUUACUGGGUUUAAAGGGUGCGUAGGCGGCCUUGUAAGUCCGUGUUGAAAGGCUACGGCUUAACCGUAGUAAGGCAUGGAUACUGCGAGGCUUGAGUACAGUGGGGGCAGAUGGAAUUGGUGGAGUAGCGGUGAAAUGCAUAGAUACCACCAGGAACACCGAUAGCGAAGGCAGUCUGCUACGCUGUAACUGACGCUGAGGCACGAAAGCGUGGGGAGCAAACAGGAUUAGAUACCCUGGUAGUCCACGCCGUAAACGAUGGAUACUCGGUGUCAGCCCUUGUGGGUUGGUGCCUAAGCGAAAGCGAUAAGUAUCCCACCUGGGGAGUACGCCGGCAACGGUGAAACUCAAAGGAAUUGGCGGGG